GUAAAGGGCUACCAGGAUCGUGGGAGAAGGAAGGACAGAGGUAUUUCUUUUAGAGGGAACACAAGAUCAAAAUCUAGAAAUCAAAAUAAGAAAAACGUAAAGUGCUACAAAUGCCAUCAGAUGGGCCACUUUAAGAGAGACUGUCCUAAUAAGAAGCAGAAUGAUGAAAGGAAAGGUGAUGGGUCCUCAAACUCAGCUAGUGUUGCAGAAGGAGACUCGGAUUCUGGAGAUGGAGAUUUGUUAUCAGUCUCUGUAGGUAAUUCUGUAAAAUUAAAUGACUGUUGGGUACUUGAUUCAGCCUGUUCAUAUCACAUGUGUCCUCACCGGGAUUGGUUUCAUUCAUAUCGUUCUGGAAAUUUUGGAUCUGUUCUGACGGGUAAUGAUGCAUCAUGUAAGGUCAUUGGAAUGGGGUCCAUAAAAUUUAAAAUGUUCGAUGGUGUGAUAAGGACCUUGGAAAAUGUUAGGCAUGUACCUGAGUUGAAAAUGAAUCUAAUUUCUUUAGGCACUUUAGACACAAAUGGUUACUCUUAUAAGUCAGAGUGUGGGGCUCUAACAGUGAAGAAAGGGGCUAUGAUUGUGAUGAAGGGUCAGAAAUUAGUAGGGAAUAUCUACAAACUACUUGGGGAUACAGU
RNAcentral lists this long non-coding RNA (632 nucleotides) under Olea europaea subsp. europaea. The record is from RNAcentral. Lineage: Eukaryota; Viridiplantae; Streptophyta; Magnoliopsida; Lamiales; Oleaceae.